RNAcentral lists this ribosomal RNA (1511 nucleotides) under uncultured Deferribacteres bacterium. RNAcentral describes it as "bacterial SSU rRNA". It matches the Rfam family "Bacterial small subunit ribosomal RNA". Lineage: Bacteria; Pseudomonadati; Deferribacterota; Deferribacteres. The record is from RNAcentral.
AGAGUUUGAUCCUGGCUCAGGACGAACGCUGGCGGCGUGCUUAACACAUGCAAGUCAAGGAGAACCUCCGCUUCGGCGGAGUAGUAAACUGGCGAACGGGUGAGUAACACGUGGGUAACCUGCCCUGGAGACUGGGAUAACCCCGAGAAAUCGGAGCUAAUACCGGAUAAUGCAGCGGGUCCUUCGGGACAUAGUUGUUAAAGCGGCCUUCGGGUCGCACUUUAGGAUGGGCCUGCGUCCGAUUAGUUUGUUGGUGAGGUAAUGGCUUACCAAGGCGAUGAUCGGUAGCUGGUUUGAGAGGAUGAUCAGCCACACUGGGAUUGAGAUACGGCCCAGACUCCUACGGGAGGCAGCAGUGGGGAAUUUUGCGCAAUGGGCGAAAGCCUGACGCAGCAACGCCGCGUGAUCGAUGAAGCUUUUCGGAGUGUAAAGAUCUGUCAUGAGGGAAGAACAGUCCUGAUAUAAACAAUAUCAGGAUUUGACGGUACCUCAUAAGAAAGCACCGGCUAACUUAGUGCCAGCAGCCGCGUAUCUAGGGUGCAAGCGUGUCCGGAAUCACUGGGCGUAAGGGUGCUAGCGUCUACGUAGUGUUUGUUAAAUCCAUCGGCUACCGUGAUCUGCAAACAAAACUGCAUAGAUAGAGUUGGAGAGGAAAGUGGAACUCCUGGUGUAGCGGUGACAUGCGUAGAUAUCAGGAGGAACAUCGAAAGCGAAAGGCAGCUUUCUGGUCCAAAACUGACGCUGAAGCACGAAAGCGUGGGGAGCAAACAGGAUUAGAUACCUGGUAGUCCACGCCGUAAACGAUGAGCACUUGGUGUCGGAAGAUUCGACCCUUUCGGCGCCGGAGUUAACGCGUUAAGUGCUCCGCCUGGGGACUACGACCGCAAGGUUGAAACUCAAAGGAAUUGACGGGGACCCGCACAAGCGGUGGAACAUGUGAUUAAUCCGAUGCAACGCGAAGAACCUUACUGGACUUGACAUGCUUGUGAUCAUCGUGAAAGCGGGAAACUCUGAGAGCUUGCUCAAAGACACAUUCACAGGUGAUGCAUGGCUGUCGUCAGCUCGUGUCGUGAGAUGUUGGGUUAAGUCCCGCAACGAGCGCAACCCUUGUCCUUAGUUGCCAGCACAUUAUGGUGGGGACUCUAAGGAGACUGCCUGGGAUAACCAGGAGGAAGGUGGGGAUGAUGUCAAGUCAGUAUGUCCCUUAUGUCCAGGGCUACACACGUGUUACAAUGGUCAGUACAAAGGGUCGCCAACCCGCGAGGGGGAGCCAAUCCCAAAAAACUGACCCCAGUUCAGAUUGGAGUCUGCAACUCGACUUCAUGAAGGAGGAAUCGCUAGUAAUCGUGCAUCAGCACGGCACGGUGAAUACGUUCCCGGGUCUUGUACACACCGCCCGUCACGCCAUGGAAGUCAGCAGUACCCAAAGCCGGUGGCCUAACCUUCGGGAGGGAGCCGUCUAAGGUAAGGCUGGUAACUGGGGCGAAGUCGUAACAAGGUAACCAAGGGCG